AGUGAACGCUGGCGGUAGGCCUAACACAUGCAAGUCGAACGGCAGCACAGUAAGAGCUUGCUCUUACGGGUGGCGAGUGGCGGGCGGGUGAGGAAUACAUCGGAAUCUACUUUUUCGUGGGGGAUAACGUAGGGAAACUUACGCUAAUACCGCAUACGACCUACGGGUGAAAGCAGGGGAUCUUCUGACCUUGCGCGAUUGAAUUAGCCGAUGUCGGAUUAGCUAGUUGGCGGGGUAAAGGCCCACCAAGGCGACGAUCCGUAGCUGGUCUGAGAGGAUGAUCAGCCACACUGGAACUGAGACACGGUCCAGACUCCUACGGGAGGCAGCAGUGGGGAAUAUUGGACAAUGGGCGGAAGACUGCUCCAGCCAUACCGCGUGGGUGAAGAAGGCCUUCGGGUUGUAAAGCCCUUUUGUUGGGAAAGAAAAGCAGCACGUUAAUACCCCGCUGUUCUGACGGUACCCAACGAAUAAGCCCCGGCUAACUUCGUG
This 492-nucleotide ribosomal RNA is filed under the name uncultured bacterium. RNAcentral's name for it is "partial 16S ribosomal RNA". It matches the Rfam family "Bacterial small subunit ribosomal RNA", at positions 29 to 507 of the family's 1533-position model. The record is from RNAcentral.